GAGGGUAUAGCUCAGUGGUAGAGCAUGCACAAGGUCCUAGGUUCAAUCCCCAGUACUGCCA
RNAcentral lists this transfer RNA (61 nucleotides) under Camelus bactrianus (Bactrian camel). It matches the Rfam family "tRNA". From Rfam's summary of the family: Transfer RNA (tRNA) molecules are approximately 80 nucleotides in length. Their secondary structure includes four short double-helical elements and three loops (D, anti-codon, and T loops). Further hydrogen bonds mediate the characteristic L-shaped molecular structure. tRNAs have two regions of fundamental functional importance: the anti-codon, which is responsible for specific mRNA codon recognition, and the 3' end, to which the tRNAs corresponding amino acid is attached (by aminoacyl-tRNA synthetases). tRNAs cope with the degeneracy of the genetic code in two manners: having more than one tRNA (with a specific anti-codon) for a particular amino acid; and 'wobble' base-pairing, i.e. permitting non-standard base-pairing at the 3rd anti-codon position. Lineage: Eukaryota; Metazoa; Chordata; Mammalia; Artiodactyla; Camelidae. The record is from Rfam by way of RNAcentral. RNAcentral also lists the same sequence under 2 other names.